Helianthus annuus (common sunflower) is the source of this 669-nucleotide long non-coding RNA. RefSeq lists it as uncharacterized. The transcript is spliced from 4 exons. The record is from RefSeq and is a predicted model, not a curated record. NCBI's taxonomy places the organism in Eukaryota, Viridiplantae, Streptophyta, Magnoliopsida, Asterales, Asteraceae.
UUGCUACUCUACUAUCAUGGCUAGCUCUCUUAGUGUGAAUACAUCGGGAAUUGGUAUUGGCAACCAAAUGGUCCUUGCUGACCUCCGUGAAGGGAGUACCGGCCCCAUCACGGUUAUGGUUUGCAGAAAGUGGGACGUCACAAGUGUCAAUGGACGCUACAUGAGCACCGACUAUGUCGUCAGUGAUAUAAAGGGAGGUGUGAUGCAUUGUACCGCCCGGAAUACACAUUGCACACUACUUCUUUGACAAGCUCAAAGAGGGCGGGAUAUAUUUACUCAAGGGUUUUAUAGUCCAGAGCACCGAUCAAUACCGGAUUCUAAAAGACAGCCCCUUUGUUAUCGGGUUAAAUGGCUCCACGACUGUUAAGAGGGUUGACGAUGCCAGUGGUUCAUUUACGCGCUACCCGUUCAUUUACGAUCCAAGUUAAAGUUCUGCCUAACAUUUCCUUUCUUUCUUUCCCAGCCCUACUUAUGAAGGUUCUGAUUCAGAUGGUUCUGUGGGUAGCGCUCCAGGUGAAAGCCCUACUUAUGAAGGUUCUUAUUCAGAUGGUUCUGUGGGUAGCGCUCCAGGUGAAAGACAAGAAACUACUAAGGGGAAGGGCGACUACAUGGGCAUGCAUUAGCGGCAGAAGAUUUCGUGAAUUAUUGAAUAAAACCAGAAGCUUUAUG